This 941-nucleotide long non-coding RNA is filed under the name Equus caballus (horse). RNAcentral's name for it is "lncRNA (ENSECAG00000048795.1)". Lineage: Eukaryota; Metazoa; Chordata; Mammalia; Perissodactyla; Equidae. The record is from RNAcentral.
CUGGAGUCCAGGACAGGGCGGGGCCAGAGUCCCGGGUUGACCGUGCUCAGGCGUCCGGCGGCCCCGGAGGUCAAGGCCCGGCAAGUCAGUGAGCAGAGCAGACCUCUGAGGAAGCAGGCCGAAAGGCAGAGGGUCGCCCGGGCCGGGCCCAGCGCACCUCGGGUCACCAGUCCAAGGGCGCUGUCCCCGCAGUGGGUCUGUGCCCGGACGUCUGCAGCAGAACGCACCCGACCCAGGCAAUGCCCGGCGCCGAGGGGUCCGGAAGUCGGCCAGCUGUAGCCGCCGGGCCGCGGGGCCGAGGGGAAGGAGCGGGCGGUCCGGGCCGACCACCGCAGGGCCGGGGCGCCGAAGGGAAGGACUGGACACUCAUGCUGAGAAGCAGAGUUCUGAGAGGGCCAACUGCAGACGCACCUGGAGGGGUGCCCCCAGCACCCGACGUGCCACCCCCAUGGGGCGUGGAGCAGGGUCAGCAUCCACUAGUUCUGGUUGUCCCUCCACACAUGAGAGUUCAGCGCCACAGGAGCAACCGUGGACUCAGGAUCUGCAAGUUGGAGCGGGACGUGGGUCUGGGUUGGGGGAGCACGGCUCAGGGGGGCCCUGUGGCCCUCAGGGCUCGUGUCCUCCAGGCUUGGGGGGCUUUCACAGUGCCCAGGAUGGAAACAACCCACAGGCGUUCCACAGCUGAGCUCACAGCCCUGUUUUUUCUCAAAAGUGAGGCUAUUCCUCCCACAUAAGCUGAUCUCAGGAUGAAGCCAGACGGCCUGGGUGGAGCCCAGUUGCAGCACCCAACAUACGCUCUCCACCUCAGAGGACAGUGUUGUGGUCGGCCAAGGGCUACAGCCAGGUCAGGGAAUGCCCAGGCCAGACUAGGAAGGCCAGCUGGAGGUGGAGAUGGAGCAGGACGGUGGGCCAGAGGGUGGGGAGGAGUGAGGUAUGUGCGG